UACGUAGGGGGCAAGCGUUGUCCGGAAUCAUUGGGCGUAAAGCGCGUGUAGGCGGCUCGGUAAGUCUGCUGUGAAAGUCCAGGGCUCAACCCUGGGAUGCCGGUGGAUACUGUCGAGCUCGAGUCCGGAAGAGGCGAGUGGAAUUCCUGGUGUAGCGGUGAAAUGCGCAGAUAUCGGGAGGAACACCAAUGGCGAAGGCAGCUUGCUGGGACGGUACUGACGCUGAGACGCGAAAGCGUGGGGAGCAAACAGG
Molecule: ribosomal RNA, 253 nt
Filed under: uncultured bacterium
Lineage: Bacteria
Description: partial 16S ribosomal RNA
Rfam family: Bacterial small subunit ribosomal RNA
Source: RNAcentral